Long non-coding RNA from Manis pentadactyla (Chinese pangolin), 1774 nucleotides. RefSeq lists it as uncharacterized. Lineage: Eukaryota; Metazoa; Chordata; Mammalia; Pholidota; Manidae. The transcript is spliced from 3 exons. The record is from RefSeq and is a predicted model, not a curated record.
CAGUUCUGUGAAGAUUUGCUAGGUUCAAGGCUUAAGACAGAGACAGGUAUCUGAUUCGUGGCAAGAGUGUUGUAAGUUUGGCUUUCUCUCACAAUGACUAGGCAACAGUGUCCUCAGGGGGAGAUCAAAGAGUAUUAAAAGUGGGUUGGAAAUUGCCACAUAAUGAUUGAGGAGACCUCAAAACAUUAAUUUUUAUGGGUAUCGCUUCUUGUCUUAACAGUUUCUUUGGCACAACCCCAAGUAUAUUUGGAAAAAAGUACUUGCUUCAGGUUAGAUCCUGUGGGUAUAAGAGAUGCUAACUGCCCUCACAGAACUCAGGGUUCAGCGGGGAGUAAUGGCUGCUGCACAUGAAACCGAGAAUGCAGCCCAGAUUCCAACUGGUAAGAACCACACUUCAGCAUUGUUGAGUUGUCCCCUGUAUUUUCUGCAUGGAAAGGAUUAUUAGUUCUCAGGAGAUUACAGUGAGGUACCCCUGGCUCCCACUGGAACUAACUUGUGUGAACAUCUAACUGAUGAGAACAGCCAUCCAGACAGACUAAAUGGUCUGAAGAUGGGUGGCUGAACACCCUCAGAAACACCUAUGUGAAAUGGAACCCCCAAAACACCCUGGAGUGGAUAAAAUCAGUCAGAAAAAAAGGAAAGCAGGGGUUUUCCUGGAAUCUGGGAAACAGGGUGAGGAGGGGGGAAGAUGUAGAAGAGGAGUAAACCCUUGGGAGACUUGGGGUCAGGCAACUGACAUGUUAUCAUCUCACUUAACUAACAAGCUUAUGAGGCUGCUAUAUCUUCCCAUUCUGCACGUAAGGAAAAAGGAAGUAGCUAGCCUAAAAUAAAGAAUUUGCUUUACAAUCCAUCUACUUUUUAAAGUUCUAAGCCUUUUAUCUAUGGUAGCCAUUAUCUCUCUCCUCUCUUUAAAAUGAUCCUUGGUAUCUCUAUGGCAUCUGUUGGGAGGAAUAUACCUACUGUGGAAGUGACAUGGAGCUAGAAGGCAACAUGGUUUCUUCACCAGUUCAGGUGGGAGCAUCACUGACCUAUUCUCCCCACCUUUUAUGGAACUGACAGUCACAAGUGAGAUCUCUCCUGUGAGUACGGCAAUUCUUCCACAGUAAUUGAAAUGCAAAGAGAAGAGGUGUCAUCUGGAAGAAUAAGCCAUCUGACUGCAGAGAAAGGCAAAAGGGAAAUAUACAGGGGUGACCCCACUGUCAUGGUUGGUUGGCUUACAGUGGGGAAGAAAUCAGGACUGCAUGAUGGAUCCACUUGAAGCCAUUAAGAAUGACUGGGUCCCACUUUUCUAGCCUUGGGCCUGCAGUGCAAGCCCAGAGAUGAGAAAAAGGAAGAAAAAGAAAGAAAAUAUCUUUUAAAAAUGAUAAUAUUCCUGUUCUCUGCUCACCCUGGAGGCUUAUUUUGAAAAUCACAGUGAUUUAACUUGUUAGCAGUUUAAUUCAUUUUAAAAGAUUAACCAGACUAAUUAUUCAUCAGAUUUCACCAUCUUUGUCAGCCUCAAUAAGGAUCCUUUGUUACAGUGAUUAAUGUGUUUUAAUUGUAGCUUCUCUCAGAGCAAUAAUUCGAUCGCACAGUAUUUGCCGAAUCUAUGGAAAUCUUGGAAAUGCUUUGACAAGUGAGCUAUUCUUGGGAAAUGAAAGUAAAGGAAUAUGUGUAACUAACAAAAGGUGUUUUAUAGCGUAUCAUUAAUAUGGAUUUUCCUUUCUGACAGACCUUACUGUAUUUCUGUCCAUGAAUCUGCUUACUGUACAUGUCUAUUUGCCAUCCAAGAACU